GAGUGCGAUCAUACCAGCAAAAAAUCAAUGAAUCCCAUCAGAACUUUAAAUUUAAGCGUGCUUGGGCGAGAGUAGUACUAGGAUGGGUGACCCCUUGGGAAGUCCUCGUGUUGCAAUCC
Ribosomal RNA from Musa acuminata AAA Group (dessert banana), 119 nucleotides. The record is from RefSeq and is a predicted model, not a curated record. NCBI's taxonomy places the organism in Eukaryota, Viridiplantae, Streptophyta, Magnoliopsida, Zingiberales, Musaceae.